RNAcentral lists this unclassified non-coding RNA (384 nucleotides) under Hevea brasiliensis (rubber tree). The record is from RNAcentral. Lineage: Eukaryota; Viridiplantae; Streptophyta; Magnoliopsida; Malpighiales; Euphorbiaceae.
AUAUCACCCUCCAUUCACUCCAUGGAAGAGACACUCAGCACUUUGGAUUACGCUCAUCGUGCCAAAAACAUAAAAAAUAAGCCAGAGAUUAACCAGAAGAUGAUGAAGUCUGCAUUAAUCAAAGAUUUGUACUCCGAGAUUGACAGACUGAAGCAAGAGGUGUAUGCUGCAAGGGAGAAGAAUGGCAUUUAUAUACCAAGAGACCGAUAUCUUCAAGACGAAGCAGAUAAGAAGGCAAUGUCUGAAAGGAUAGAACGGAUGGAACUUGACUUCGAAUCCAGGGACAAGCAAUUUAUGGAACUUAAGGAACUAUACAAUUCUCAGCAAUUGUUGACAGCAGAAUUGGGUGACAAACUUGAGAAGACAGAGAAAAAGCUUCAGGAA